CCCAUGUGUUUAAUCAGUAAGAACUUAGUUAAUAAAUAUCAGGAGAGGGAGCCUAAGAGAGCCUAGAGAGAUGGCCUUGGAGUCAAGAAAACCUGCAUCAAGUGGAAUUUCUGGCAUCUAUUGGUUGUGUGACCCCUAAGGAAACCCCUUAAUCUCAGUUUGCAGAACAGGAGCUGAUUUGAAUUAGUAGGAAGCUCCUUUCUGGGAGGUGUCUCUCUCUCUCUCUCUCUCUCUCUCUCUCUCUCUCUCUCUCUCUCUCUCUCUCUCUCUCUCUCUCUCUCUCUCUCUCUCUCUCUCUCUCUCUCUCUCUCUCUCUCUCUCUCUCUCUCUCUCUCUCUCUCUCUCUCUCUCUCUCUCUNAUAAAAAAAACCCCCCCCAAGGGGGUUUUUGGGCCUUUUUGGGGGGGGGGCCCCCAAAGAAAACCCCUUUUUUUUUUUUUUGAAAAAGGGGGGUUUUUUUUUUUUGGGGGGAGCCCUUUUUGGGGGGGGGUGUUUUUUUUUUUUUUUUUUUUUUUUUUUUUUUUUUUUUUUUUUUUUUUUUUUUUUUUUUUUUUUUUUUUUUUUUUUUUUUUUCUUUUUUUUUUUUUUUUUUUUUUUUUUUUUUUUUUUUUUUUUUUUUUUUUUUUUUUUUUUUUUCCCCCCUUUUUUUUUUGUACAUAGUUU
Molecule: long non-coding RNA, 662 nt
Filed under: Monodelphis domestica (gray short-tailed opossum)
Lineage: Eukaryota; Metazoa; Chordata; Mammalia; Didelphimorphia; Didelphidae
Description: lncRNA (ENSMODG00000040260.1)
Source: RNAcentral